AUUGAACGCUGGCGGCAUGCCUUACACAUGCAAGUCGAACGGCAGCACGGGUGCUUGCACCUGGUGGCGAGUGGCGAACGGGUGAGUAAUACAUCGGAACGUACCUUAUCGUGGGGGAUAACGCAGCGAAAGCUGUGCUAAUGCCGCAUACGCCCUGAGGGGGAAAGCGGGGGAUCGAAAGACCUCGCGCGAUUAGAGCGGCCGAUGACUGAUUAGCUUGUUGGUGGGGUAAAAGCCCACCAAGGCGACGAUCAGUAGCUGGUCUGAGAGGACGAUCAGACACCCUGGGACUGAGACACGGCCCAGACUCCUACGGGAGGCAGCAGUGGGUAAUUUUGGACAAUGGGGGCAACCCUGAUCCAGCAAUGCCGCGUGAGUGAAGAAGGCCUUCGGGUUGUAAAGCUCUUUUGUCAGGGAAGAAACACCGGCUCUAACACAGUCCGGGAAUGACGGUACCUGAAGAAUAAGCACCGGCUAACUACGUGCCAGCAGCCGCCGUAA
This 501-nucleotide ribosomal RNA is filed under the name uncultured bacterium. Its description in RNAcentral is "partial 16S ribosomal RNA". It matches the Rfam family "Bacterial small subunit ribosomal RNA", at positions 30 to 523 of the family's 1533-position model. The record is from RNAcentral.